Molecule: ribosomal RNA, 460 nt
Filed under: uncultured bacterium
Lineage: Bacteria
Description: partial 16S ribosomal RNA
Rfam family: Bacterial small subunit ribosomal RNA
Source: RNAcentral
CCUACGGGUGGCAGCAGUGAGGAAUAUUGGUCAAUGGACGAGAGUCUGAACCAGCCACGUAGCGUGAAGGAUGACUGCCCUCUGGGUUGUAAACUUCUUUUAUAUGGGAAUAAAAUGUUCCACGUGUGGGAUUUUGUAUGUACCAUAUGAAUAAGGAUCGGCGAACUCCGUGCCAGCAGCCGCGGUAAUACGGAGGAUCCGAGCGUUAUCCGGAUUUAUUGGGUUUAAAGGGAGCGUAGGUGGAUUGUUAAGUCAGUUGUGAAAGUUUGCGGCUCAACCGUAAAAUUGCAGUUGAAACUGGCAGUCUUGAGUACAGUAGAGGUGGGCGGAAUUCGUGGUGUAGCGGUGAAAUGCUUAGAUAUCACGAAGAACUCCGAUUGCGAAGGCAGUUCACUGGACUGCAACUGACACUGAGGCUCGAAAGUGUGGGUAUCAAACAGGAUUAGAUACCCGAGUAGUC